GAAGACCAAGGGUUCCUGUCCAACGUUAAUCGGGGCAGGGUGAGUCGACCCCUAAGGCGAGGCCGAAAGGCGUAGUCGAUGGGAAACGGGUUAAUAUUCCCGUACUUGGUGUUACUGCGAAGGGGGGACGGAGAAGGCUAUGUUGGCCGGGCGACGGUUGUCCCGGUUUAAGCGUGUAGGUGUGUGUUCCAGGUAAAUCCGGUUCACUUUAACACUGAGGCGUGAUGACGAGGCACUACGGUGCUGAAGCAACAAAUGCCCUGCUUCCAGGAAAAGCCUCUAAGCAUCAGGUAACAUCAAAUCGUACCCCAAACCGACACAGGUGGUCAGGUAGAGAAUACCAAGGCGCUUGAGAGAACUCGGGUGAAGGAACUAGGCAAAAUGGUGCCGUAACUUCGGGAGAAGGCACGCUGACACGUAGGUGAAGUGAUUUACUCACGGAGCUGAAGUCAGUCGAAGAUACCAGCUGGCUGCAACUGUUUAUUAAAAACACAGCACUGUGCAAACACGAAAGUGGACGUAUACGGUGUGACGCCUGCCCGGUGCCGGAAGGUUAAUUGAUGGGGUCAGCGCAAGCGAAGCUCCUGAUCGAAGCCCCGGUAAACGGCGGCCGUAACUAUAACGGUCCUAAGGUAGCGAAAUUCCUUGUCGGGUAAGUUCCGACCUGCACGAAUGGCGUAAUGAUGGCCAGGCUGUCUCCACCCGAGACUCAGUGAAAUUGAACUCGCUGUGAAGAUGCAGUGUACCCGCGGCAAGACGGAAAGACCCCGUGAACCUUUACUAUAGCUUGACACUGAACAUUGAGCCUUGAUGUGUAGGAUAGGUGGGAGGCUUUGAAGUGUGGACGCCAGUCUGCAUGGAGCCGACCUUGAAAUACCACCCUUUAAUGUUUGAUGUUCUAACGUGGACCCGUAAUCCGGGUUGCGGACAGUGUCUGGUGGGUAGUUUGACUGGGGCGGUCUCCUCCUAAAGAGUAACGGAGGAGCACGAAGGUUGGCUAAUCCUGGUCGGACAUCAGGAGGUUAGUGCAAUGGCAUAAGCCAGCUUGACUGCGAGCGUGACGGCGCGAGCAGGUGCGAAAGCAGGUCAUAGUGAUCCGGUGGUUCUGAAUGGAAGGGCCAUCGCUCAACGGAUAAAAGGUACUCCGGGGAUAACAGGCUGAUACCGCCCAAGAGUUCAUAUCGACGGCGGUGUUUGGCACCUCGAUGUCGGCUCAUCACAUCCUGGGGCUGAAGUAGGUCCCAAGGGUAUGGCUGUUCGCCAUUUAAAGUGGUACGCGAGCUGGGUUUAGAACGUCGUGAGACAGUUCGGUCCCUAUCUGCCGUGGGCGCUGGAGAACUGAGGGGGGCUGCUCCUAGUACGAGAGGACCGGAGUGGACGCAUCACUGGUGUUCGGGUUGUCAUGCCAAUGGCACUGCCCGGUAGCUAAAUGCGGAAGAGAUAAGUGCUGAAAGCAUCUAAGCACGAAACUUGCCCCGAGAUGAGUUCUCCCUGAGACUU
Molecule: ribosomal RNA, 1500 nt
Filed under: Salmonella enterica subsp. enterica serovar Kentucky
Lineage: Bacteria; Pseudomonadati; Pseudomonadota; Gammaproteobacteria; Enterobacterales; Enterobacteriaceae
Description: bacterial LSU rRNA
Rfam family: Bacterial large subunit ribosomal RNA
Source: RNAcentral